This is a long non-coding RNA of Helianthus annuus (common sunflower), 239 nucleotides long. RefSeq lists it as uncharacterized. The record is from RefSeq and is a predicted model, not a curated record. Lineage: Eukaryota; Viridiplantae; Streptophyta; Magnoliopsida; Asterales; Asteraceae. The transcript has 3 exons.
GAGUUCGAGGGCAGGGGUCUUGAACUUACUCGAUUUCUUCACGAAUCAUCCUCAGGUUGAAAUUGGGGGUGAAUUUUAGCCCUAAACUUGUUGAAAUUGUCAAUCUUCGACGAAUUCUUCUUGAAUCUUCAUAAGAUUAUGCUAUGGGAUUGACCGGCUGCUGCUGUGCCUGCUCUUGUUCGACUGCAAGCUGCUGCGCUACUUGUUGUGAUCUUGUUUGACUUUUCCAAUCUUCAUCA